UGAGCUGGGAGAUGGCCUGCUUGGGCUGGCUUCCACGACCCAUUUCUGGAUGAUUUCCUCCCACUUUUCCAGCUGGAGUCCCCUUCCUCAGCAGCAGCCCCGCCCCACUGGAGAACAGGCUGGGUUAUGUGUCUGCCAGUGAGCAGUUGCGCCUCCUGCAGCGGGCCCACUCCCACAGCUCCAGCCCUGAGGUGGGCAGCACAGACUUUCAGAGCUUGAUCGAUGCUAACAGAAAGUGGCUAGAACACUACAGAAAUGAUGCCAAGUUACCUCUCUUGUCGUCAGUGCCCAAGCCGGCAGCGACCUCAGGCCUGCUGCAGCUGGGCAUCGACGAGAACAGACUGAGGGUGUACCGCUACUGAGGCCCCAAGCCUGUCCUGCACCCAGACCAAGUGCCUGAGGACCUGCCUGCGCUCUAGUCCUUCUGAGAAAGCAUUCUCCUGCCCUAUUUGCUGCCUGCCCCUCUCAGAGGAACCCCGGGGGCCGGGGCUGGAAAGGAUGGUACGACUGGAAACCGUAAGCUGCCCCCCUGAGACCACGUAUCUCAGGCUGAAGAGAGUGGACUUCUGUGAGCUCCUGACUGGACAAGGCAACACCGACGUGGGAGCGUCCGAGCCCGGGCCCCUGCAGGACGAGGAGGAGGUAUUAGGAUUUGCCUUCUGAGGCCAAGGGGCCUGCAGGGCACACUGCACUUGGGACUCCUGUGGUUACGUGUGUAUGGUCCUAAUUCUCCAGAACGAAGCUCUGUACCCUGGCACCAGGCUCUAAUACCUCAGCCUCAGAGAGA
This is a long non-coding RNA of Ailuropoda melanoleuca (giant panda), 787 nucleotides long. RefSeq lists it as uncharacterized. The transcript has 3 exons. Lineage: Eukaryota; Metazoa; Chordata; Mammalia; Carnivora; Ursidae. The record is from RefSeq and is a predicted model, not a curated record.